AAGUCGUAACAAGGUCUCCGUAGGUGAACCUGCGGAGGGAUCAUUACAUAAUAACCAGGCGGGCUGGACACCCCCCGCUGGGCACUGCUUCACGGCGUGCGCGGCGGGGCCGGCCCUGCUGAAUUAUUCACCCGUGUCUUUUGCGUACUUCUUGUUUCCUGGGUGGGCUCGCCCGCCCUCAGGACCAACCACAAACCUUUUGCAAUAGCAAUCCGCGUCAGUAACAACGUAAUUAAUUACAACUUUCAACAACGGAUCUCUUGGUUCUG
This 269-nucleotide unclassified non-coding RNA is filed under the name Alternaria infectoria. RNAcentral's name for it is "partial internal transcribed spacer region". The stretch from base 1 to 46 matches the Rfam family "Eukaryotic small subunit ribosomal RNA", at positions 1786 to 1831 of the family's 1831-position model. Lineage: Eukaryota; Fungi; Ascomycota; Dothideomycetes; Pleosporales; Pleosporaceae. The record is from RNAcentral.